Long non-coding RNA from Lotus japonicus, 711 nucleotides. RefSeq lists it as uncharacterized. The transcript has 2 exons. Lineage: Eukaryota; Viridiplantae; Streptophyta; Magnoliopsida; Fabales; Fabaceae. The record is from RefSeq and is a predicted model, not a curated record.
GUUUUGAUUAGUUUCAGACCUGAGUAAGUUCUUAAGUGAUGGGGUCAAGGGUUUUGACUUGGGUCGGGCUUGAAGGAAAACAAACCCUAGCCCAAGAGAGGGAGAGAGGGGACGCGGGCUAUGUAGGGUUUUGGGGGGGAAAGGGGUUUCUUUUCACACUAUUCCGAAGAAAGAAACCUGGUGCACUUCUGAAACACGUAAAACAGAGGAGAAAGAGUGAGAGAAACUUUCCCCUUGCACCCUAGCCGUCACCGUCCCAAGCCCCACCACCGUCGACGUGUUCGCACAAGAGGGAGAAGGAGUUCGCGAGCGAGAGGGAGAGAGGAAGGUCACGCGUGGGAGAAGAGGAGAGAAACCAGAACCUUGCUCUUCAAUUUCAUCUUUUCUUCAAGCCUAAGGACAAAGAUGGUCGUGAAGAUAAUGACGAGGACUCAUUCUUGGGAGUUGAUGCUACGUGGCGAGCCACUACCGGAUGACGACUACACUUCUGAUGAAGAGGAAGAAGAUAAAGAGGAAGGGGCCAAGGAUAUGGUUGGGUUGUGAGACAUCCAUUUUUCUUUUGGGUUGAGAGUACCGAGUUUUGGAAGUAUUGAACCAUUACUUUAUUUUAGUUGAGAUAGUUUAACUUGAUGUAAUUUACUUUGAAGUUUUCUUCCGGAUAUUUAUUUCAUACUCUUUUCAAUGAUUAAUAAAGUUUGAGGUUUAGGUUGA